Molecule: long non-coding RNA, 863 nt
Organism: Bubalus bubalis (water buffalo)
Lineage: Eukaryota; Metazoa; Chordata; Mammalia; Artiodactyla; Bovidae
Exons: 2
Source: RefSeq, a predicted model, not a curated record
CGUCUUAUAGAUCUGCCCUGCUAGCGCGGCGUCUGACUUUGACGCAUGCACGUACACGGUCAGCCCCUUUCCUCAGUGCUCGGCCUUCUCGCGCGUCUUCUAGGUCUGCCCUGCUAGCGCGGCGUCUGACUUUGACGUAUGCGCAUACAGGCCCCGCCCCGUCCCUCAGUGCUCCGCCUUCUGGCGCGUCUUCUAGAUCUGCCCUGCAAACGCGGCUUCUGACUUUGACGCAUGCGCAAACAGAGUUCUCGCCCGACCAGGAAAUCCUUCCGAUGUCGCGCGUCCGCUGUGUGAGGAAGAUGAAAGGGUUGUGUUGUUUCUUGUAUACUUUAGGACAACCUUAGAAGUCGCUGUUGUUACCAAAACGCCAGGUUCGAUAGUUCUCUUCUUCAUAACCUUUUGUUUUCACCUGGUGUGAAACAAAAAGGUGGAUCUAGGUGAAGCUUUUACUUAGUAGUGGACAAGUUGGAGCACUGUGUCGCAGCAGUUGGCAGGCAUACUGCUAUCAAGAGGUCUGAACUUUCCAGGUGGCUCAGUGGUAAAGAAUCAUCCUGCCAGUGUAAGAGAUGCAGGUUCAAUCCCUUGAUUGAGAAGAUCCCUUGGAGAAGGAAAUGGCAGCCUACCCCAAUAUUCUUGCCUGGGAAAUCCCAUGGCCUGGAGCCUGGUGGUCUACAGCCCAUGGAGUCACAAAGAGCUGAACAGGACUAAGUGACUAAAUAACAACAAUACCUAGCGAGUAAAGUGCUACAAAAGAGAUCCCUGAAGCUUCUUGAAAUUGCUAGAGUAAAAUUUCUUGUUAUGGUUAGGGUUGGGAAUGGACAAGUUUGUAAGGGCAUAAUAAAUUUUAAUUUGAAAGAGCUAAA